Molecule: transfer RNA, 106 nt
Filed under: Volvox carteri f. nagariensis
Lineage: Eukaryota; Viridiplantae; Chlorophyta; Chlorophyceae; Chlamydomonadales; Volvocaceae
Rfam family: tRNA
About the family: Transfer RNA (tRNA) molecules are approximately 80 nucleotides in length.
Source: Rfam by way of RNAcentral
GACGAGGUGGCCGAGCGGUCUAAGGCGCUAGAUUCAGGACUAUCCGAUGAAAUCGGAGGAAAUGUUCUAGUCCGUAAGGGCGUGGGUUCAAAUCCCAUCCUCGUCA